RNAcentral lists this unclassified non-coding RNA (200 nucleotides) under soil metagenome. RNAcentral describes it as "partial contains internal transcribed spacer 2 and large subunit ribosomal RNA". The record is from RNAcentral.
GAGCGUCAUUUCAACCAUCAAGCCCCCGGCUUGCGUUGGAGCCCUGCGGCUGCCGCAGGCUCCCAAAUCCAGUGGCGGGCUCGUCGUCGUACCGAGUGCAGUAAACAUCCUCGCUCAGGGAACGCGUCGGGUUCUUGCCGUGAAACACCCCACAUAUCAAGGUUGACCUCGGAUCAGGUAGGAAUACCCGCUGAACUUAA